CGGAGUUUAGUUAAUAUUAUAACAUAUGCUUGUCAAGCAUAAAUAAUCUAUUCCAGAUAUCUCCCA
This 66-nucleotide transfer RNA is filed under the name Thalassina squamifera. RNAcentral describes it as "tRNA-Asp". The record is from RNAcentral. Lineage: Eukaryota; Metazoa; Arthropoda; Malacostraca; Decapoda; Thalassinidae.